RNAcentral lists this ribosomal RNA (243 nucleotides) under uncultured bacterium. Its description in RNAcentral is "partial 16S ribosomal RNA". It matches the Rfam family "Bacterial small subunit ribosomal RNA", at positions 527 to 769 of the family's 1533-position model. The record is from RNAcentral.
GGAGGAUGCGAGCGUUAUCCGGAUUUAUUGGGUUUAAAGGGAGCGUAGACGGGAUGUUAAGUCAGCUGUGAAAGUUUGGGGCUCAACCUUAAAAUUGCAGUUGAAACUGGCAUUCUUGAGUGCGGCAGAGGCAGGCGGAAUUCGUGGUGUAGCGGUGAAAUGCUUAGAUAUCACGAAGAACUCCGAUUGCGAAGGCAGCUGACUGUAUCGUAACUGACGCUGAAGCUCGAAAGUGUGGGUAUC